RNAcentral lists this transfer RNA (81 nucleotides) under Lepisosteus oculatus (spotted gar). It matches the Rfam family "tRNA". From Rfam's summary of the family: Transfer RNA (tRNA) molecules are approximately 80 nucleotides in length. Their secondary structure includes four short double-helical elements and three loops (D, anti-codon, and T loops). The record is from Rfam by way of RNAcentral. Lineage: Eukaryota; Metazoa; Chordata; Actinopteri; Semionotiformes; Lepisosteidae.
GCUGUGAUGGCCGAGUGGUUAAGGCAUUGGACUUGAAAUCAAAUGGGUCUCCUUGUGUGGGUUUUAACCCUGCUUGCAGCA